Mus pahari (shrew mouse) is the source of this 365-nucleotide long non-coding RNA. RefSeq lists it as uncharacterized. The transcript has 3 exons. The record is from RefSeq and is a predicted model, not a curated record. NCBI's taxonomy places the organism in Eukaryota, Metazoa, Chordata, Mammalia, Rodentia, Muridae.
CCGGGACAGGGCCUGGCCGGGCAGGGCAGGGCGCUCCGGGCAUCAGCUGUCCCCGGUAGGCCCAAGCCGGGACGGCGCGGUGCUCGGCCCGGAGGCCGCUCGGGGACCCCGCCGAGCCGCGGGCCCACCUGUGACGAGCAGCCUGACCACAAACUUGCUGAGUUUACAGCGUGGCGAUUCGGCUCCCGAGGAGAGGACCGUGGCCUGACUCAGGCCCAUGCAGUCUCUACACAGCUACUGCCGUUCCGCUAUGCCGCUAGCCCAAGUGUCGCCUGGCAGGAGAUUGCCUAAUGCAGGCCCAUGUUUGCUGAUCAAACCCCACUGCCACCUCUGGUUCCCUAAGAGGUCCUCUACCUAAGGACUCC